AGCAGCCGCGGUAAUUCCAGCUCCAAUAGCGUAUAUUAAAGUUGUUGCAGUUAAAAAGCUCGUAGUUGAAUUUCGGGAUUGACGUGAUGGUCAUGCCUUAAGGGGUAUGAACUGUUACUGUUGAUUUCUCACCUUCUGGAGAAACUUGAUGUCCUUUAUUGGGUGUCUUGCGGAUCCAGGACCUUUACCUUGAAAAAUUAGAGUGUUUAAAGCAGGCAUUUUUGCUCGAAUACAUUAGCAUGGAAUAAUAGAAUAGGACGGCAUGGUUCUAUUUUGUUGGUUUCUAGGAUCACCGUAAUGAUUAAUAGGGAUAGUUGGGGGCAUUAGUAUUCAAUUGUCAGAGGUGAAAUUCUUGGAUUUAUUGAAGACUAACUACUGCGAAAGCAUUUGCCAAGGAUGUUUUCAUUAAUCAAGAACGAAAGUUAGGGGAUCGAAGACGAUCAGAUACCGUCGUAGUCUUAACCAUAAACUAUGCCGACUAGGAAUCAGACGAUGUUAAUUUUU
Molecule: ribosomal RNA, 504 nt
Filed under: uncultured Entrophospora
Lineage: Eukaryota; Fungi; Glomeromycota; Glomeromycetes; Entrophosporales; Entrophosporaceae
Description: SSU rRNA
Rfam family: Eukaryotic small subunit ribosomal RNA
Source: RNAcentral